GAUGAACGCUGGCGGCGUGCCUAAUACAUGCAAGUCGAGCGAACGGACGAGAAGCUUGCUUCUCUGAUGUUAGCGGCGGACGGGUGAGUAACACGUGGAUAACCUACCUAUAAUACUGGGAUAACUUCGGGAAACCGGAGCUAAUACCGGAUGAUAUUUUGAACCGCAUGGUUCAAAAGUGAAAGACGGUCUUGCUGUCACUUAUAGAUGGAUCCGCGCUGCAUUAGCUAGUUGGUAAGGUAACGGCUUACCAAGGCAACGAUGCAUAGCCGACCUGAGAGGGUGAUCGGCAACACUGGAACUGAGACACGGUCCAGACUCCUACGGGAGGCAGCAGUAGGGAAUAUUCCGCAAUGGGCGAAAGCCUGACGGAGCAACGCCGCGUGAGUGAUGAAGGUCUUCGGAUCGUAAAACUCUGUUAUUAGGGAAGAACAUAUGUGUAAGUAAAUGUGCACAGAUUGACGGUACCUAAUCAGAAAGCCACGGCUAACUACGUG
Molecule: ribosomal RNA, 497 nt
Filed under: uncultured bacterium
Lineage: Bacteria
Description: partial 16S ribosomal RNA
Rfam family: Bacterial small subunit ribosomal RNA
Source: RNAcentral